GACGAACGCUGGCGGCGUGCUUAACACAUGCAAGUCGAGCGGUAAGGCCUCUUCGGGGGUCCACGAGCGGCGAACGGGUGCGUAACACGUGGGUGACCUGCCCUCAGCUCUGGGAUAAGCCUGGGAAACUGGGUCUAAUACCGGUAAUGACCUUUCCUCGCAUGGGGUUUGGUGGAAAGUUUUUUCGGCUGGGGAUGGGCCCGCGGCCUAUCAGCUUGUUGGUGGGGUGAUGGCCUACCAAGGCGACGACGGGAAGCCGGCCUGAGAGGACGACCGGCAAACCUGGACGUGAGGCACGGCUCGGGAUCCUACGGGAAGGAGCGGUGGGGUAUAUUGGGCAAUGGGCGGGAGCGAGGCGGGGCGACGCCGCGUGAAGGAUGACGGCUUUGGAGUAGUAAACCUCUUUCGACCCCGACGAAUUUGGACGGUAGGGGUAGAAGAAGCACCGGCCAACUACGUG
Molecule: ribosomal RNA, 460 nt
Filed under: uncultured bacterium
Lineage: Bacteria
Description: partial 16S ribosomal RNA
Rfam family: Bacterial small subunit ribosomal RNA
Source: RNAcentral